GUAGGCCUAGUUCCUCAAGAGUUUUCAUUUUUCAAUUAUUCAAGAGAGGUCGUGAUUAGUACUCUUAAUAUCUGGCAUUUUAAACAUUUUUUCUAGUUUACGUCAUUAUUUACAAGAAUAACAGAAAUAUUUUAAGAUUAAUUAUACCAAUGCAAUGCAGCAGGGGGCGCAGUUUGAUCAUGAUGCCAACAAGGACUACUGAGUGCAUAGAUUAUGACUGAUCUCCAGCCACCCGACAACACCCUAAGACGCACAGACCUCAGAUGCAGUGAAUAGUUGGAUAAAUACAGUUUUUCCAGAUGACAUGUCUACAGAGAUAAAUGCUAGACAAGUCAGCAAAAAUACAAAUGGAAAAACAUUAUUUGAUUUUCAGACUCCAGACUGGUCCAACAUCACAUACUAUGAAGACAUCCAACUAAAGACAGUUUUAAACAAAUAAAACCUUUUUGUUCAAAUGUCUGCCAGAACAGACUAUACUGACUGAAUAAAAAUAAAAUGCAAUGCACAUUAACAUGCUAAAACAAUGUGUUGUCCCGUUAAACAUUUACUUAUAUGAUGGUAUGACAGCUACAUUGGAUUCCUUUGAGAAACUGGUAGAAAUGCCCCAGUUUAGGAACUAAUGGUUGUCCGAAUCCCCAACUGUCAGUAAUAAUGAAUUAUAUAUUAUAUACCAUUUCACAUUUCAUGUUAGACUGAGACAGAGAUGAUGAAAAC
Long non-coding RNA from Alosa sapidissima (American shad), 714 nucleotides. RefSeq lists it as uncharacterized. The transcript is spliced from 3 exons. NCBI's taxonomy places the organism in Eukaryota, Metazoa, Chordata, Actinopteri, Clupeiformes, Clupeidae. The record is from RefSeq and is a predicted model, not a curated record.